This 117-nucleotide non-coding RNA is filed under the name Gorilla gorilla gorilla (western lowland gorilla). The record is from Rfam by way of RNAcentral. Lineage: Eukaryota; Metazoa; Chordata; Mammalia; Primates; Hominidae.
GCCGGGUGUGGUGGCUCAUGCCUGUAAUCCCAGCACUUUGGGAGGCUGAGGUGGGAGGAUCACUUGAGGUCAGGAGUUCAAGACCAGCCUGGCCAACAUGGUGAAACCCCAUCUCUA